CAUACAUAUAGGCUAUAUCUCCGACGGUUAAGUGUUGUGUCAUCACAACAAGCUGCCAUCGUUGCUACUUUGGGAGGCAGAGACCCCUUUUUGCGCAUGGAUGCAUUUAAGGGCUCCAGGGAUAUCAAGCUUUCACAUCUCCUGCAGCUCUAUCAUCUUUCGGUGCACAUGGGCUAAGUAGUCCUAGAAACAAUCAGGUAGUGGUUGUGAUACAGGGGAUGCCUGCUUCCAGAUCAAUUCAUACUGGAAGUGGCAUUUCCAUAACAAAUAAUUCCGUUGGUGAUGCAAAUAAGUACCAUCUUAACCUAUAAGGAAACCAACAUGGUAACCUGGCACAAGGUUUAGCCACAUCGCUUGGGCAGGCCCAACUGCAACAGAAGUGGAUGAAUGAAGCAACGGUGAUUUGUCCGUCAUCCUAUGUGGGAAUAGCCUGGUCAAAGGCAUGCCUCACACGCUCCGAAGUGUCACAAGCAGUACAUGCCUCAAGAUCAAAUGAUACAUUCUCAGCAAGGUUUGGUCCAACAAAUGACCUCAUGGUAGCAAGAGGUGGCAAAGUGGGAGCCAACUCUUUUGGUGGCACGAUACUUUGUCGCCAGAUACCGACCAAAAGUACUGGAGCUUUGGAAGUGGAAACAGCUUUAGACAGAAGGCAGAUGAAAGUAGUGUAGACAGUCUACUUGGUCCAAACCUUGCAUGGAAUUCCUCUCAACUGAUAAGCUAGCCAUAAAGCUAAUACACAAAUAGUCUCUCUUUUAAGUGGCCAACGAGCAAUUGUGAUUCUCGGGGGAGACUACGCCAAGAACUUUGAUUCUGCUGACCUAUGUAAUGCAUCCUCGCAAGAUUCUAUCAUAAUAUUAAUUUUUUGGCAUGAGUGUCAGCAAAUACUGAGGUUCUGAAUUUUUUAAGGUGAGCUGCAGGAAUUGGAUAGCUCUUGCAGGUCGUGCAUUUCCUAGGUGCGGGUGCCUCCAUCUCCAUAACCUCACACAUAUGAUUAAUCUUACAUGGAUGUUGGUGUAUGGUCUUGGAAGAGUGAGAUACAAAGUACUUUCGUUGCAUUUUUUCCCUCAGAAAUGGUGAAUAUACUUAAACGGUUAACUUUAUAAUUUAGUUGGUAGUUUUUGAAAAAGCAACCUAUAUAUGCAGAGGGGCCUUCCAAUCAUCAAUAUAGAGUUUCUUCCAACUGCUUGGUUGUUCUGAUCAUAUCAGUGGUGGAACUCCGAUAAGAUUUUAAUUCCAUGACUCACGAGGUGUCCUCUUCAGAAGUUAUAUGCAGAGUGCAACAAGUUUAGGCCCCACAACACCUGUAGUAGGUGUACCUGUAAAUGUGGUCAUAUUUCUGGAAAUUCGAGCAUAGUUUCCUUAGCUAAGCUGAGAUCAGCGUAGAGAACUCCCUAAGCUGAACAGUCUUUGCUUAAUUCAACAAUGAAUGCUCCAUGCCUCUUAUAGCAACAGAUAUCACCCUAGGGGCGCGGCAUGUAGGAUUCCUUCUAGAGUUGAAGUGUGUUAUUAUGGGUUUCAGUUAAUUAAUGAGGGGAUGGUUGCUAGGACCUAGCUAAUUGGGUAGUAAUAUGUAAGUUAAUCUAACUGCAUAUACAAAAGUUACUAAUAGUAGAGAUUCAUUUAAGAUAAUUGAGGUAAAAAUUGCUAGCAUUGUCUAUAAUUUUCAGGUUUUGUCAAAGUUUGAUACUGCCUUUUGUACCAGAGAGCCCUGAUAUUUUGUAGCGACUGGGCUCCGAAAUAGAUAUGCAUAUUUCCGCAAGAUUAUGUGCUGCUUGAGCAAGGCACGUCAAGAUUUCUUUUUUUCUCUCGAACACACACCUAGACGUGUGUCUUUGUAUAUUAGAAGAAGACCGUCAAGAUGACGGGAAAGUUACAGCGUUGGUAGCAAGGCUACAGAAGAAGGCAAAAAACAAAGAAACAAGAGAAGAACACAAGAGAGAACAAAAAAAAUGUACAAGGCUAAAGCCUGCAUUGUUCGAGAUUUCUGAUACUAACCUUUCUUUUUUAUUUCUGCACUUCUAUGUAAUGGGUGAUGCUUGCCUUCCUUUUUCUAUCUGCAGUUUCAUGGAAUGUGUGAUCUAUUUCCUCUAAAGUUGUUUGGUGCUUCUCCCCUGCUUCUCCCUCCUCCUAUAUGCAGAUCAGAAAAAAAGAAGAAGCAAUGGUACCUUUUUUGAUCUUCUAGGUUCACAUUUUGAAAGAUAGAUGGGCAUUGGACAUUGUGUCGCUCAAUCGGGGCAAUUUGGUUCUGUAAAUAUUGCACAAUGAUCAUGUUUCUCUUUGCAUUCCUAUUCAUUAGAUAUAUGUAGGUGUGUAGCAAUAUCAUCCCCUGAAAUAGCUGUGCUGAUGCACCUUCCUGGUUUAUGACAAAUGGGUAUUGUGUGAUUAAGGUGAGCUGCUUCUACCUGCAUACAUCCUGCUACGUCGGUGCAACCAAGUCAUAUGUUCUUCAGAGAAGUGUGAUUUUCCCACAAACAGAUCAAAGACGAUCUUCUGGACACUGAUCAUUCAAGUGAUUAUAUUUUUCUUAACUGCUGCCUUUUUCCUAAUUGCAGCUUGGGGUCUUCGUUUUUUCAUAGAGGGUGUGUCUCUAUUAACAAAAAACAGUAGUGCACCUGGUAAUUCUUUCUUGACAAGCCUAUCAUGUCAAGAUUGUUUCUGAUGCAUUACUAACAAUGCUUUUGUCUGCACAACAAACAAACCAAUGGUUGUGUCAAUAUGUGACACUUUCAAGUUCAAACCUUUAGGUACCAUUAUAAUUAGCAUCGUGUUUAUCAUUGGAGAAAGUAGCACAAAGCUAUGUUAUUGGCUACUCUCAAUGAGUCAGUGAGAGCCAAGAUUAUUUUCAAGUUACAUUUUUGCACCACUUUUUGGAAAUUUUUCAAACUACAUGAAUUUUCCUAUUCUCGCAUUUUAACUUAUUGCCAUCUACUUAAAUAAGUACACACACAAAUGUUGUAUUAAAAGAGAUCAGUGUACAUGUUUCUAUAGGAACUAAGAAGUGAAGAUGCAUGCAGCUGACUAUUCUGUAAACAUAAAAGGAUCCUGCCCUCACAACCACACACAAUGGUUGCGCACAAGUACAGUGGACCUAUUCGACAUUUUGAAUUAUUGCCAUGCAUCCACUUAAAAUAGGUAUCCAGAGGUGUGUGUAGUUAGGAACUUAGAAGUGCAGAUGCAGCUGACUAAGCUUAGCUCUCACAACCAUACAUGCAUGGUUUUUGGUUCUCCUCUUCUAGAGAUUUGGCAGCUCUUCUCACUAAGUUCAUCCUUCAAGGUGUCGUUGUAUCUACCAAGGUUUUACCAUUGCGUUCCUAAUUUGUCUGUCGCAAGAACCUGCGCUUUAAAUGAUAGAGAAUGAAAGCAAUUACCUAGACUAUACAAGAAAUCUUAUAAGCUAAAGAGCCGUAGAGAGUGGGUUUUAUAGUUUAUUAUUACUGCAUAUUCAGCUAUGUGCAGGCAUUGCCUUUAGGCACCAAUAUUUAGAUCCUGGCACAUCUAUUUUCUGUACAUAAAUGGAAAUUUUUCCGCUAAUGAAGAUUUCGGUUUAUACAAAGAGUUAGGAAAAUAAAAUGUAGUAUAUUAUCCUUCAACUUGAAUCAGCCUAUGCUAUGUUUAUUAGUGGCAUUGCCAUACAAUUAGCUAAAAAAAACUAUUUGUUCUGCUUCAGUCGUGUGGAAUGAUCAAGGGGAAGCAAGGCCGAGAAUGCAGUACUGGUCAAGUAGUAUCUCCUUAAUCAAUGACUAGAAUUAGUGUCCGCUCCAUCUUCCAUGGAUUGAGAGAGCUCGAUGUUUUUGUGAACUAAUCAGACUGAGAUGAGUUAUUUGAUUUAAGCGCAAAUACAAAUCUUAGCUGAAUAUGCUCUUAGUUGUGGAGAUUCUGCUAUUACAUUAUUCAGCUUCAGUUAGUCUUGUUUCUUAGACUUAUUUUGCUUCUUUGUGUAGGCUCGGUUAAGAAAGGCAUGGGAAUGGGUAGUUCUUUCCAAUUUUAUCGUGUAUGCUCGCAUAAUUUUAUCAUGAGCAUAUGCUAUAUACCAACAACAAUUUAAAGGCCAUUCGCAACUUCUUCAAUCAUGGAGAGGACGACAAAGAGAACAUACUGGCUUUACACAAGCAACACACAUGUUAUCGAUAUAUCAUCUGGGAACACGAGAGUGGCUAAAGUAAGAUUUGUGUAUGCAGGUAGAACUUGGUAUAUCAUGUAUCGUCCAAGUCAGCAAAUUUACUGUCAUAUAUGUCCCCAUUGCCGUCAA
This is a long non-coding RNA of Lolium perenne, 4249 nucleotides long. RefSeq lists it as uncharacterized. NCBI's taxonomy places the organism in Eukaryota, Viridiplantae, Streptophyta, Magnoliopsida, Poales, Poaceae. The record is from RefSeq and is a predicted model, not a curated record.